This is a long non-coding RNA of Sinocyclocheilus grahami, 369 nucleotides long. RefSeq lists it as uncharacterized. The transcript has 3 exons. Lineage: Eukaryota; Metazoa; Chordata; Actinopteri; Cypriniformes; Cyprinidae. The record is from RefSeq and is a predicted model, not a curated record.
GUCUGCCAUUAUUAUUUAUUUUUGUUCCAGGAACUCUAAUGUUACACAAAAUCUUACACGAAGUCUGCGUUUAAACAUAUCCAGUAUGCUGUUUUAUCCAGCAUAUAACCGCUACAUUGUUAAUGUGACGGCCGUGCGAGGAGGAGAGGAGUCAGAGCCGACACUAUCAGAUAUCUUCAGCUAUAAUAAAUAUGCUACCGCCAAAAUUAAGUGUCAUUUGGAUUUUCCUGAGGUUGAACUUUCUCCCAAAGACGGCAAACUUCACGUCCAGUUCAGCAACCCUCUUCAGCUGUACAGAAACUCACCGGCUCUGCGCGGCCUCAACGAUAAUCUGGAAUACUGUAUCGAAACAGAAGAAUUCAACCAAAA